This is a long non-coding RNA of Wasmannia auropunctata (little fire ant), 1011 nucleotides long. RefSeq lists it as uncharacterized. NCBI's taxonomy places the organism in Eukaryota, Metazoa, Arthropoda, Insecta, Hymenoptera, Formicidae. The record is from RefSeq and is a predicted model, not a curated record. The transcript has 3 exons.
GUAUAUUAGUUAAAAUAUUUAAGGAACAAUAUGAUUUAUUCGUCGCGCGAACUUGUCAUACAGAGAAGCCAGCGAUGACGUGCGAACGAUAGGAGCAUUCAACUCACGAUAAGAUAACGUUCGUGAUUAAUCAUCGUCGACUAAUCUGUGACCUUCUUCGAAGACACAGCUUUGAUGCACAGUAUGGCGUGCUGUAUACAUUUCCUUCGAGAACUAUUAUUGGCGACGUAACAAUACAUGCAUAAUAUUUUCUACUUGAGAUGCAACGAGACGAUUAAAGCGCGAAAAAUAAAUGGGGGUUACUCUUGUGAAAGAUGCAGAAGACGUCGAAGGAGGGCAGAGUGCAUACGUAACGCAAUACGUGACAACGUAUUUCGUGGGGUUAUUAGUCCGAUUAGACGAGGAUAGAUGGUGACGGAAAACGCGUAGAGAGACACAAUGUCGUCGGCCCUUUCGAUGGCUCCACGCAUGCGUAUCAUGGACGCACACACACACACACACACACAAAAGUCCACACGAUAUACAGACACACACAACGCAUACGCAUGCGUUAUAUGUGUGUCGUGUGUGUGUGUUUCAAGGGAGAAUCGACCGAGAAGCAAAGCGUGUCCGUGGUACAUCGAGCCAGCCACGAUAUCGGACAAUCUGUUUAGAAAACAAUGGAAACGCACGCCGCGCUGCGAGUGGAUGAAUAUUCAAGGAUUAAGUAACGAUUGGGUAAGCCAGAAAUCCGGAUUAUUACCUACUCGCGAUUCUUCCCUGUGGGCCCGCGAUGGGAUGCAAAUUUAAUUGAUACACGAGACGACUAAUAGAGUUCAUUCUAUCGCCGGAAGAUCAAAGAGCGAGCGAGCGAGCGGUUGCGACAAAUGUUCCAACAUGAGCUUUUGAUUCUUGAUCUUUAGAUGUUAGUGAUAAAUUACUUUGUAUUCAAUCAUUUGCACAACGAAUUAUGGAAUAGAUGUGCGAAAAUUACUAUAUAAAAAGAAUAUACGACUUUUAAGAAACGUAGAU